UGAAAUAGGAGGAAUGAUUCAGACUCCUGAUUUCAAGCCUGGGCAUCAAACUUGAUUCACAAUGCUUUCAUUACUAACUAACUUAUAUUCUACCAAGAGCACCCCAAUAUCCAUUCCUGCAGAACCCCUAUCAGGCAUCCCUUCCUGUGGGAGAAGCAAACUUUCCAGGAAACGCACAAUCACAGCUUGGAGAAAUGCCUACAUAGUGUGCAAGCACUAACUCUCUCCUGGGACUAUGACUAAAUUCAAGUUGUACUAAAUGAUGUACUGGUAUUAUGUAUAGCAUAGCAAAGCAUGUUCACUUGAGCUCUGGGCAUAGCAUGUUUACUCGAUAAAUAUUACUUAGGGAAUUAGUAGUUAAAUUUUCAGUAGCUGCCAUGGCAUCUUUGUUAUGAGGAUUUGACUGUGUUUUCAAAAUGUUGGGCAAAUAGGAAAGGUUCUGUGGAUUUUUGAGGCUCUGGAGUACAAGGGGUACCUGAAAAGAUGCUGAAGGAGCAAUGCCCGUCCCAGUGGAAGGUAACUGUGGCUGCAUCAGCUGAAGAAGAGACCAGAAAUCACUUGGGCACCUCAGAU
Long non-coding RNA from Leptonychotes weddellii (Weddell seal), 573 nucleotides. RefSeq lists it as uncharacterized. The record is from RefSeq and is a predicted model, not a curated record. Lineage: Eukaryota; Metazoa; Chordata; Mammalia; Carnivora; Phocidae.